CAAAAGAAUGGGUUAGUACAUUAAAAUCUGACAAAUCUUUGAAAACUUCUGUAAAAACAAAAUUAAACUUGUCCUUGACUGUUAACAAAAAAACAGAAUUAAUUGAAAAUAUGUCAUCCAAAGAUAUAUAUAACCAUUUAAAUAACAAAAAUGAUGAGAGACCACUAGGAUUCUCCAAAUGGAAAAACAUCUUCAAUCUAGAAUCAAUCACUCCA
RNAcentral lists this long non-coding RNA (215 nucleotides) under Mytilus galloprovincialis (Mediterranean mussel). Lineage: Eukaryota; Metazoa; Mollusca; Bivalvia; Mytilida; Mytilidae. The record is from RNAcentral.